Canis lupus familiaris (dog) is the source of this 1124-nucleotide long non-coding RNA. RefSeq lists it as uncharacterized. The transcript has 6 exons. The record is from RefSeq and is a predicted model, not a curated record. NCBI's taxonomy places the organism in Eukaryota, Metazoa, Chordata, Mammalia, Carnivora, Canidae.
AUCUGCUCACGAGAGGGCGCUGGCAACCCAGCCUAGGCCGAGAAGGUUCUUAGAUCUCCUAGGAAGGCCAGGCCUCUUUGGGGGUAUUCAGGUCUGAUUUCUCAAGAGCCGCAGAACCGCAGAUGGCAGGGCUGGAAGAGAGCCCGCGGAUGAUUUAAUCCACUCUUUGGAUUUUGCAAUUCUCAGCCACGGGAGGUUAAAGGAGGAGCCGCUUCAAGAAUUACGGAAGUUGCGAACACAGUGCAGAGCAUACGCAUUCGCCUCAGCCUAGCUUCCCCCAGGGUGGGCAUCUCACCAGCACUUCUCUGGGCAUAUGUAGAAACUGAAGAUUAGGACAAAAAGUUGGAUCUCAAGGUAGCUGGUUUGGAGGUGGCAGGACAGGUGGCCCCGCGGUGGCCCUCACGGCUGCCUGUAUGCUUUUCAGGAAGCCUUGAACAGUGCCGGGGAUAAACUUGUAGUAGUUGACUUCGCAGUCACAUGGUGUGGACCUUGCAAAAUGAUCAAGCCUUUCUUUCAUAGGUAUAAGGAAGAAAACAAUUGACCAGAAGUGGUAGCUUUCUUCCUUCCAGUAGGUCAUAUAGACCAGCGUUGGAUGAGCAGGAAGAAGAACAGACAUGAAACAAAACAGGAAGGUGCGUUGCUCCAGAAACAUCAUAGGAUCGGAUGACUUGAAAACCUUCACCAAACUUGGGACCGUUACACCAUUCACAUCUAGAUGUGCUGCAAUGGAGGACACAUCAAAUCAGUAUUUUAGUAAACAUCUACUGAAGAGAAGACAUUAUAUUUGAUGCUCUGUGAGACUCACAGUAGUAUCAAAUAGGACCUUUGUUAUUGAUCUUACCAUCUUAGUUGAGGAACGAAAACAUACGCAAGUACAAUUAAAUGCUAAAAAAAUAAAGUAGAUAAAUAUAUAUGACACUCCUAAUUUUCUAAGAACAAAGAGGUAUAGAUGCAUAGUAAGAAAACACUCUGAGGAUAGAUUCCAAAUAGAGGAUAGUAAUUAUUCUUGGUCAGUGCGAUCACAGGAAAUUUGACAUGCUUUUAUAAAUGUUUUUCCAAAUUUUCUAUAAUAAAUAUGCAUUAUUUUUAUAAUUCAAAAAUAAAUAUAUCAUUUUUAAAAUAAA